GGGGGUCCGCGCACAUUCCGGGGUUGCCCUUGCCGGGAGGCAGAGGACGAAUCCCGGGGAUGAAGAUGAUCGUCGUCGGCUCCCGGUUUGACCGUUUGACCGCCCCGUGUCAGAGCGGUGGUUUUUUGUUGUUGCACACCCAGUGAUGGUGAUGUAGCCAGAUGAAUCAUCAUCAUCAUUAUUUACGGUGGACAAUGAUCAUCAUCGUCGUCGUUUUCAUCAACAUCAUUAUUAUUAUUUAUAGUGCGUCAUUAUUCAUGGAGGUGUCAAUGUGCAACGUCAACAAAGGCGCAUGCCGCGACUAAUUUAAGAUUCCUUGUUGCUGCACCUUCACAGAUGUCCAGUAUGGAGCGGGUCAGCAAGUUACAACAACAAUACAAACAAAACAACGAUGGGAUUUGUAAAAUAGCAGAAAAGGUUCAUACGCGGACGACACUACUACCCCACGUGGACUGUACACUGCGUGCAGCAUUGAGCUUCACCUGCCAGAUAAACACAAGCCGACAUGCAAGCAAGUGUGUCGCCGCCUUGUGCCAGAGGGUGACGCCAAGAAGAUGACUUCACAGAACAGAUCAUUCUACACAGGGGAGGGAGAUGGGAGAGAAGACAAGAGAAGAGGCAGGGAAUGGAUCAGUGGAGCAGGUGGAUGCCUGUCAGAGGCAACGACCUCUCAGUCCCUUCAAUGAGGCCUCUUGUGUUCACCAUGAACACACAAUUAUAUACCCCUCGCGAAGUGUUUAUCCUUUGUACGGCAAAUCUAUCCGAUAUGUUCAAUACUUGGAACUGGUAAUAUUAAUGAGUAAAUAACACAACGGUACAUCAUGGGACCUCCUUUGCCAGUAUCAAAAUAUGAGAAUAGUUUUUUUUACAAGGAAUCAUGUCGCAUUAACCACAAUGCUUGUGGUCAGAAUGCAAACAAAAAACACUCCGAUAAGAAAUGGAUUGUCUUUGAAAAAAAGGUUUCAGUUUGGUGUUCUAAUAUCUUAACACCUGUUUGUUGCCAGAAAAAAAGGGGAAAACUAAUUCUCAUAACACGGCAGUUUAAAGUCAUUUUGUGUGUGCGUGCAAUCACGGUGACGUGACGAAAUCUUCCUCGCCUGGUAUGCAAGAGGUCGUGGGUUUGACCUCGACGCCUGCUGUAUA
Long non-coding RNA from Petromyzon marinus (sea lamprey), 1143 nucleotides. RefSeq lists it as uncharacterized. NCBI's taxonomy places the organism in Eukaryota, Metazoa, Chordata, Hyperoartia, Petromyzontiformes, Petromyzontidae. The record is from RefSeq and is a predicted model, not a curated record.